This 407-nucleotide ribosomal RNA is filed under the name uncultured bacterium. RNAcentral's name for it is "partial 16S ribosomal RNA". It matches the Rfam family "Bacterial small subunit ribosomal RNA", at positions 30 to 526 of the family's 1533-position model. The record is from RNAcentral.
AUUGAACGCUGGCGGCAGGCCUAACACAUGCAAGUCGAGCGGAGCGGCGGACGGGUGAGUAAUACCUAGGAAUCUGCCUGGUCGUGGGGGAUAACGUUCGGAACUGGACGCUAAUACCGCAUACUCUCUGCUGAGCCUCGGUCGGAUUAGCUAGUUGGUGAGGUAAUGGCUCACCCAGGCUACGAUCCGUAACUGGUCUGAGAGGAUGAUCAUUCACACUGGAACUGAGACACGGUCCAGACUCCUACGGGAGGCAGCAGUGGGGAAUAUUGGACAAUGGGCGAAAGCCGGAUCCAGCCAUGCCGCGUGUGUGAAGAAGGUCUUCGGAUUGUAAAGCACUUUAAGUUGGGAGGCGUUACCGACAGAAUAAGCACCGGCUAACUCGGUGCCAGCCGCCGCGGUAAUUC